This 468-nucleotide ribosomal RNA is filed under the name uncultured bacterium. RNAcentral describes it as "partial 16S ribosomal RNA". It matches the Rfam family "Bacterial small subunit ribosomal RNA", at positions 28 to 507 of the family's 1533-position model. The record is from RNAcentral.
GACGAACGCUGGCGGCGUGCUUAACACAUGCAAGUCGAACGGAAAGACCCUGCUUUUGUGGGGUGCUCGAGUGGCGAACGGGUGAGUAACACGUGAGUAACCUGCCCUUGACUUUGGGAUAACUUCAGGAAACUGGGGCUAAUACCGGAUAGGAGCUCCUGCUGCAUGGUGGGGGUUGGAAAGUUUCGGCGGUUGGGGAUGGACUCGCGGCUUAUCAGCUUGUUGGUGGGGUAGUGGCUUACCAAGGCUUUGACGGGUAGCCGGCCUGAGAGGGUGACCGGCCACAUUGGGACUGAGAUACGGCCCAGACUCCUCCGGGAGGCAGCAGUGGGGAAUAUUGCACAAUGGGCGGAAGCCUGAUGCAGCAACGCCGCGUGCGGGAUGACGGCCUUCGGGUUGUAAACCGCUUUCGCCUGUGACGAAGCGUGAGUGACGGUAAUGGGUAAAGAAGCACCGGCUAACUACGUG